UGGCAGUGUGGUUAGCUGGUUGAUGAUGAUAAAUUUCAACAGCUAUCCGAGCUGCCCAU
Molecule: microRNA precursor, 59 nt
Filed under: Ptychodera flava
Lineage: Eukaryota; Metazoa; Hemichordata; Enteropneusta; Ptychoderidae
Description: Pfl-Mir-34_pre stem-loop
Source: RNAcentral